UACGGAGGGUGCAAGCGUUGUUCGGAAUUAUUGGGCGUAAAGGGCGCGUAGGCGGUAAUGUAAGUCAGAUGUGAAAUACUCCGGCUCAACCAGAGAAUUGCAUCUGAAACUGCAUAACUAGAGUACAGAAGAGGGAAACGGAAUUCCCGGUGUAGAGGUGAAAUUCGUAGAUAUCGGGAGGAACACCAGUGGCGAAGGCGGUUUCCUGGUCUGAUACUGACGCUGAGGCGCGAAAGCGUGGGGAGCAAACAGGAUUAGAUACCCUGGUAGUCCACGCUGUAAACGGUGAACACUAGGUGUGGGAGGUGUAAUACCUUCCGUGCCGUAGCUAACGCGUUAAGUGUUCCGCCUGGGAAGUACGGCCGCAAGGUUGAA
Molecule: ribosomal RNA, 375 nt
Filed under: uncultured Pseudomonadota bacterium
Lineage: Bacteria; Pseudomonadati; Pseudomonadota
Description: bacterial SSU rRNA
Rfam family: Bacterial small subunit ribosomal RNA
Source: RNAcentral